UACGGAGGAUUCAAGCGUUAUCCGGAUUUACUGGGUGUAAAGGGAGCGUAGACGGCUGUGCAAGUCUGAAGUGAAAGCCCAGGGCUCAACCCUGGGACUGCUUUGGAAACUGUGGAGCUAGAGUGCUGGAGAGGUAAGUGGAAUUCCUAGUGUAGCGGUGAAAUGCGUAGAUAUUAGGAGGAACACCAGUGGCGAAGGCGAUUUGCUGGACUGUAACUGACACUGAGGCACGAAAGCGUGGGGAGCAAACAGG
RNAcentral lists this ribosomal RNA (253 nucleotides) under uncultured Eubacteriales bacterium. Its description in RNAcentral is "uncultured Clostridiales bacterium partial 16S ribosomal RNA". It matches the Rfam family "Bacterial small subunit ribosomal RNA", at positions 524 to 776 of the family's 1533-position model. The record is from RNAcentral. Lineage: Bacteria; Bacillati; Bacillota; Clostridia; Eubacteriales.